RNAcentral lists this ribosomal RNA (253 nucleotides) under uncultured bacterium. RNAcentral describes it as "partial 16S ribosomal RNA". It matches the Rfam family "Bacterial small subunit ribosomal RNA", at positions 524 to 776 of the family's 1533-position model. The record is from RNAcentral.
UACGUAGGGGGCAAGCGUUGUCCGGAAUUAUUGGGCGUAAAGAGCGCGUAGGCGGUCCGGUAAGUCGGCUGUGAAAGUCAAGGGCUCAACCCUUGAAAGCCGGCCGAUACUGUCGGACUAGAGUCCGGAAGAGGCGAGUGGAAUUCCCGGUGUAGCGGUGAAAUGCGUAGAUAUCUGGAGGAACACCGGUGGCGAAGGCGGCAUCCUGGACCGGUAUUGACGCUGAGGCGCGAAAGCCAGGGGAGCAAACGGG